AUUGAACGCUGGCGGAAUGCUUUACACAUGCAAGUCGAACGGCAGCACGGACUUCGGUCUGGUGGCGAGUGGCGAACGGGCGAGUAACACGUGGGUGAUAUGCCCUGCACUUCGGGAUAAGCCUGGGAAACUGGGUCUAAUACCGGAUAGGACCACUGCCUGCAUGGGUGGUGGUGGAAAGCUUUUGCGGUGUGGGAUGGGCCCGCGGCCUAUCAGCUUGUUGGUGGGGUGAUGGCCUCCCAAGGCGACGACGGGUAGCCGGCCGGAGAGGGUGACCGGCCACACUGGGACUGAUAUACGGCCCAGACUCCUACGGGAGGCAGCAGUGGGGAAUAUUGCACAAUGGGCGCAAGCCUGAUGCAGCGACGCCGCGUGAGGGAUGACGGCCUUCGGGUUGUAAACCUCUUUCAGCACCGACGAAGCGCAAGUGACGGUAGGUGCAGAAGAAGGACCGGCCAACUACGUGCCAGCAGCCGCCGUAA
This 482-nucleotide ribosomal RNA is filed under the name uncultured bacterium. RNAcentral's name for it is "partial 16S ribosomal RNA". It matches the Rfam family "Bacterial small subunit ribosomal RNA", at positions 28 to 523 of the family's 1533-position model. The record is from RNAcentral.